CCUACGGGAGGCUGCAGUGGGGAAUAUUGGACAAUGGGCGAAAGCCUGAUCCAGCCAUGCCGCGUGUGUGAAGAAGGCCUUCGGGUUGUAAAGCACUUUCAGUGGGGAAGAAAGCCUUGGGGCUAAUACCCUCGAGGAAGGACAUCACCCACAGAAGAAGCACCGGCUAACUCCGUGCCAGCAGCCGCGGUAAUACGGAGGGUGCGAGCGUUAAUCGGAAUUACUGGGCGUAAAGCGCGCGUAGGCGGUCUGAUAAGCCGGUUGUGAAAGCCCCGGGCUCAACCUGGGAACGGCAUCCGGAACUGUCAGGCUAGAGUGCAGGAGAGGAAGGUAGAAUUCCCGGUGUAGCGGUGAAAUGCGUAGAGAUCGGGAGGAAUACCAGUGGCGAAGGCGGCCUUCUGGACUGGCACUGACGCUGAGGUGCGAAAGCGUGGGUAGCAAACAGGAUUAGAUACCCCAGUAGUC
RNAcentral lists this ribosomal RNA (465 nucleotides) under Vreelandella stevensii. RNAcentral describes it as "partial 16S ribosomal RNA". It matches the Rfam family "Bacterial small subunit ribosomal RNA", at positions 338 to 795 of the family's 1533-position model. The record is from RNAcentral. Lineage: Bacteria; Pseudomonadati; Pseudomonadota; Gammaproteobacteria; Oceanospirillales; Halomonadaceae.